RNA transcript from Piliocolobus tephrosceles (Ugandan red Colobus), 424 nucleotides. It is a transcript of the gene named 40S ribosomal protein S20 pseudogene, with no coding region annotated. Lineage: Eukaryota; Metazoa; Chordata; Mammalia; Primates; Cercopithecidae. The transcript has a single exon. The record is from RefSeq and is a predicted model, not a curated record.
AUGGCUUUUAAGGAUACCGGAAAAACCCGUGGAGCCGAAGGUGGCAAUUCACCGAAUUCGAAUCACCCUAAGGAGCCGCAACGUUAAAUCCCUGGAAAAGGUGUGUGCUGACUUGAUCAGAGGCGCGAAGGAAAAGAACCUGAAAGUGAAAGGACCAGUUCGAAUGCCUACCAAGACUUUGAGAAUCACUACAAGAAAAACUCCUUGUGGUGAAGGUUCUAAGACAUGGGAUCGUUUCCAGAUGAGAAUCCACAAGCGACUCAUUGACUUGCACAGUCCUUCUGAGAUUGUUAAGCAGAUUACUUCCAUCAGUAUUGAGCCAGGAGUUGAGGUGGAAGUCACCAUUGCAGAUGCUUAAGUCAACUAUUUUAAUAAAUUGAUUACCAGUUGUUAAAAAAAAAAAAAGAAAAAAAGAAAAAAACAA